GGACCGGUGUCUACCGCAACACUGGCCAGAUGGGUCCGCUGGCUAUUGUCUUUAGCGGGCGUCGAACCUUGUUUCGGAGCCCACUCGGUCAGGGAGCGGCGGCCUCACAAACCUUUUCGGCCGACGCUUCCCUAGCCGACAUUAUACGCUGCGCGGACUGAGCGCGAGAGAGUACGUUUAGAACAUUCUAUUUCGACAAACAUCUCAUGCUUCCUUCACAUUGG
Molecule: non-coding RNA, 224 nt
Organism: Pelobates cultripes (western spadefoot toad)
Lineage: Eukaryota; Metazoa; Chordata; Amphibia; Anura; Pelobatidae
Source: the annotation of a GenBank genome assembly